GGCGCUCGGCGGCGGCCACGGAGCUGCCGGCCUGGCGGCUGCGCUGCGAGGGCGGGCGGCAGCGCUGGCGCUACCUGGGCGAUGGCGAUGGCGAUGGCGAUGUCGGAGAGCCGCGGGCGCAGACGGCGCUGGAGCAGCACAGCCUCGGGCUGGACACGGGCGCGGCGCUGCCCCCGCUGCCGGCGGACGGCUCGGCCCGGGAGGCGGCCCGCAGGGGGAUGCGGUUCUACGCGGCCCUGCAGGCCGAGGAUGGGCACUGGGCGGGCGAUUACGGCGGGCCGCUGUUCCUGCUGCCAGGUCUCCUCAUCACCUGCCACACGGCCAAAAUCCAGCUGCCGGAGGCGUUCCGGAAGGAGAUGAUCCGCUACCUGCGCUCUGUGCAGCUCCCGGACGGAGGCUGGGGCUUGCACGUGGAAGACAAAUCAACAGUGUUUGGCACAGCACUCAACUACGUAGCCCUGAGGAUCCUGGGGCUCGGACCGGAUGACCCUGACAUCGUGCGGGCCCGUGUCAACCUGCACAGCAAAGGAGGUGCUGUGGGAAUCCCUUCCUGGGGCAAGUUCUGGCUGGCUGUCUUGAACGUUUACAGCUGGGAGGGAAUGAACACGCUUCUCCCAGAGAUGUGGCUGCUUCCCACGUGGUUCCCAGCCCACCCGUCCCGGCUCUGGUGUCACUGUCGCCAGGUUUACCUUCCCAUGAGCUACUGCUACGCCAAGCGUUUGUCAGCAGAAGAGGACGAGCUCAUACGGAGCCUGCGACAGGAGCUGUACGUGCAGGACUAUGCCAGCAUAGACUGGCCAGCGCAGAGGAACAACGUGGCUGCCUGUGACGUGUACACCCAGCACAGCUGGCUGCUGGACACUGCCUACGCCAUCAUGAACAUGUAUGAAGCCCACCACAGCACUCACCUGCGGCAGCGAGCCAUCGCAGAGCUGUACGACCACAUCAAAGCUGAUGAUAGAUUCACCAAGUGCAUCAGCAUCGGACCAAUUUCCAAGACCAUCAACAUGCUGGUUCGCUGGUUUGUGGAUGGGAAGAACUCCCCAGCUUUUCAGGAGCAUGUUUCCAGGAUCCCGGAUUACCUCUGGCUGGGCCUUGACGGCAUGAAGAUGCAGGGCACAAAUGGAUCCCAGCUCUGGGAUACUGCCUUUGCCAUCCAAGCCUUCUUGGAGGCAGAAGCCCAGAAGAUGCCUGAAUUCACGUCCUGCCUCCAGAAUGCCCAUGAGUUCCUGCAGUUCACCCAGAUCCCAGAGAACCCACCUGACUACCAGAAAUACUAUCGCCAUAUGAACAAGGGUGGCUUCCCCUUCAGCACGCGGGACUGUGGCUGGAUCGUGGCAGACUGCACAGCAGAGGGGCUGAAGGCGGUCAUGCUGCUGCAGGAGAAGUGCCCCUUCAUAGCCAAGCUUGUGCCCCCUGAGCGCCUCUUUGAUGCUGUGAAUGUGUUGCUGAGCAUGAGGAACUCGGACGGAGGCUUUGCCACAUACGAAACCAAGCGAGGAGGCCACUUACUGGAGAUGCUGAACCCCUCGGAGGUGUUUGGUGACAUCAUGAUCGACUACACAUACGUGGAGUGCACCUCGGCUGUCAUGCAGGCACUGAGGCACUUCCAGAGCGAGUUCCCUGAGCACCGCACCCUGGAGAUCAGGGAGACCCUGCGGAAGGGCCUGGAUUUCUGUCGCAAGAAGCAGCGAGCGGAUGGGUCCUGGGAAGGGAGCUGGGGGGUUUGCUUCACCUAUGGCACCUGGUUUGGUCUGGAGGCGUUUGCCUGCAUGCAGCACACGUACCGUGACGGGGCUGCGUGUCGAGAGGUGGCCCAGGCCUGCCAGUUCCUCGUCUCCAAGCAGAUGGCAGAUGGUGGGUGGGGAGAGGAUUUCGAGUCCUGCGAGCAGCGCACGUACGUGCAGAGUGCUGAAUCACAGAUCCACAACACCUGCUGGGCCCUGCUGGGGCUCAUGGCUGUCAGGUACCCUGACGUCGACGUGCUGGAAAGGGGCAUUAAAGUGCUGAUUGAUAAGCAGCUGCCCAACGGGGACUGGCCUCAGGAGAACAUCGCCGGGGUGUUCAACAAGUCGUGUGCCAUCAGUUACACCUCGUACCGCAACGUCUUCCCCAUCUGGGCGCUGGGCCGGUUCUGCCGCCUGCACCCCGACAGCCCCCUGGCUGGGCAGCUGCGAGCAGGGCAGGCUGUGCAGGAAACUCUGUCUGCCUGAACCUGGGCCACUGGGAGUGCCAGGGCCUUGGACUUGGCUGGGGUACCGGCAGCUGCGUGGGACCAUGGGGGUGUGUGCUGUGUGGGAUGUCUCAGUGCUGACCUUAGCACGUGGACUGCUGCCUCUGCCAGGGAUGGGUGCUGCCCCGGGGCUGCAGAGCCUCUGCUUGCUGUUGAACCUCUUCUAAACAUUCCCUUUUUAAGGUUUUUCCCAGGUAUAUUCUCCAUCCCGGGAUGGGGAGUGAAGUGCCUUUUCAGAGCAUUUGGAAGAUCUGAGAAAACUGCCAAGCUGUGUUGUGUUCCACAUCUGGACAGAGGAUGGCACCUGGCUUCCCAGCACCUCAGAGUUGUUUCCAGCCACAACUGACUGUAUUUCUGCACUUCUUUCACCUGUUACCAGAGGCUGAGCUGGGCUGAAUACUCUGAGACUCCUCCCAGGGAUCUACCACAGUGUUUUGGUCUCCGAUUUCAGGAUCUGAGAUCCCAAGUGUCAGCCCACACCACUCUCAGGAUGCUACCUGAGGUUGUGCCAAUGAACUUGGGAAGUUUGCAACUGUGUUGGCAGCCGAGGGGGCUCCUUCUGCUGCCGUGGGCAGACACAGCAGGGAAGGGGUUGCUUAGUUUUUGAGCCAUUCUCGAAGUUCCUGUCCAACUGUCUUGGAUACUUUGGAGCAUGGAUUCCUUCUGAUCUGGGGCAGGUUGGCCAGGCUGAGGGAGGCCCCAGGGUACGUGGUAAGGUGACACAGGGCCCUUUGUGACACAAUGGGCAUCACCGAUGGGAUGGAACGGGGCAGGGUGUCGCAGGGGUCUUUGUGACAUGGGAUGAUAUAAGUACUGGUGUUGGUGUGGCCCUGCCUCAGUUGUCAUCAGAGCACGCAACGGGACAGACAGGACAGAGCGGUGCUGUGCGGAGCCCCCACGCAGCCAACUCCUUCCUUGCUGGCCCAGAGCUUUCCAAGGCGUUGCUCUUGCAGGUGCCCUCGAGGCCAGACUGCGGGACUUGCUGACCCGUAGCCUCCCGAGGUUUCCCCCACCCUUUCAGAAGGCGCCUUUGAGGCCAAACCGCAGGACUUGUUAACCCGGAGCCUUUACAAGAACCCUCCCAUUCUCGUGGCAAGAGCCCUUAAGUCCAGACUGUAGCUCUUCCAUGGCUCCUCUCCUGCUGGUGCCCUCAAGGCCCUACUGUGUGACUUGGUAAUCAGUAGCUUUUCUGAGGUUUUCUGGUUGCAGUUGCCCUUGAGACCAGACUGUGGAGUGGUGUGGAGACGCGUGAGCCUGUUUGGGAUGAAGAAGGUGAAGAAGUGUCUGGGGGUUGCCCCAGCUCGGCGGCCUGAAAAUAUGGAGUGGUUCCAGCUGCUGCCAGAGGGUGAGUGGCAGAGCUGG
RNA transcript from Myiozetetes cayanensis, 3595 nucleotides. It is a transcript of the gene named lanosterol synthase, with no coding region annotated. The record is from RefSeq and is a predicted model, not a curated record. The transcript is spliced from 24 exons. Lineage: Eukaryota; Metazoa; Chordata; Aves; Passeriformes; Tyrannidae.